Molecule: microRNA, 24 nt
Filed under: Solanum lycopersicum (tomato)
Lineage: Eukaryota; Viridiplantae; Streptophyta; Magnoliopsida; Solanales; Solanaceae
Description: sly-miR10535a
Source: miRBase by way of RNAcentral
UUGGCAUAAGUUUGUGAAAGCCGG